GUAAAGGCUCAGGGAUAUCACUUCUUUCUUGCUUCUGUCUUACCAUCCUGAGUAACUCAUUGCAAAGUCUUUCACCUUUCUCUCAACCCCUUACAAUCUGUGGAGAAAUGAGUGUGAUUGGAUGGGGGAGGGGAGGGAAGGGGGGGAAGGCAGCCAGGCUUUGAAUGCUUGUGGGUAGCUCUCCUUUCCCGCCUUUUGCCCUGCUGAACGAUUAAUUGGCUGCAGAACGCACCCUGCCCCAUCCGGGAGUAUAGGGAAACAGAAGACACAAGCGUCGGCAGUCAGUGCUCCACUGACGCCUUAACAGUCAGCUGAGUCGGGAUUUAACUGCGUACUUCACGUGCCAACCGCUGCUACACCGUAAAGAGAAUGACCCAUUACGCUGCCCUGCCAUUAACUUGCCCCGGGUUAGAACCCGGCCAGUGGGCUUUCUGAUUAGGCGGCGUUUUGGUGCUGACACACCAUGCCGUUCUGAGAUAAGUAAAUCGAGGCUGAUUUCCCUAAGAUCUCACCAGGAGUAAUUGCCAAAGCUGGAAUCGAAUUCCUGUUGCAAUUUGACUCUAGAGCCUAAGCUCCUAACAGCUGGUAUAUACUGUCUCUCAUGCUAACAGCUAGUGUCCAGAGAGAGGGCACACAUGGUCCCGGGGAAUCCUCACAGCCACCCCAGGAAGAAGAAUGACGACAGCACCCAUUAAAGCAGACAACUGAGGCUCAUGGAGGUGAAGACACUCAGCUCACACAGCUGGUCCAUGGUUGAGCAAGGAGUAGAGUGAAUGAUACCUAAUCUUCUGAAUCCAAAUCCACAUCUUAAUCUCUCCUCACACUGCUUCCUUCCCAUUUGACUGAUGGAGAAACUGAGGCCCUGAGGAAAAUCAAAGCUGGAAUUCAGAUCCAGAUCCAUGAGACCCAGUAGAGCACCCCCUAUACCACAUUGCCUCCAAGAAUUCGGUGUCUAGUAGAUCCUGUGUUUGGACAUGACUGAAGUGACUAAGCACACACAGCACAGAUCCUAUGUUAGAUGAGGUGAAAAGUCUUCUCAGCCAACCAGCCUUGUCUGGUAUAGGAAUUGUUAUUGUCCCCAUUUUACAGUUCUGGAGGCUGGAUUCAAAAUCAAGGUGCCAGCUGAGUUGACUUCUCCUCAAUCCUUCCAUUGACUUGCAGACAGCUGCCAUCUCCCUGUGUCUUCACACGGCCUUGCCUCUGCUCGUGCACACUACUGUUGUCUCUUCCUUUUCUUACAAGGUGCCAUAAACUGAAUGUUUGUUUACCCCCUCCCUCCCACAUUCAUAUGUGAAACCUAAUCCCCAAUGUGAGGAUAUUUGGAGAGGAGGCC
Bos taurus (domestic cattle) is the source of this 1333-nucleotide long non-coding RNA. The record is from Ensembl. NCBI's taxonomy places the organism in Eukaryota, Metazoa, Chordata, Mammalia, Artiodactyla, Bovidae.